GGUAACACUAACUGGAGGACCGAACCGACUAAUGUUGAAAAAUUAGCGGAUGACCUGUGGCUGGGGGUGAAAGGCCAAUCAAACCGGGAGAUAGCUGGUUCUCCCCGAAAGCUAUUUAGGUAGCGCCUCGUGAAUUCAUCUCCGGGGGUAGAGCACUGUUUCGGCUAGGGGGCCAUCCCGGCUUACCAACCCGAUGCAAACUGCGAAUACCGGAGAAUGUUAUCACGGGAGACACACGGCGGGUGCUAACGUCCGUCGUGAAGAGGGAAACAACCCAGACCGCCAGCUAAGGUCCCAAAGUCAUGGUUAAGUGGGAAACGAUGUGGGAAGGCCCAGACAGCCAGGAUGUUGGCUUAGAAGCAGCCAUCAUUUAAAGAAAGCGUAAUAGCUCACUGGUCGAGUCGGCCUGCGCGGAAGAUGUAACGGGGCUAAACCAU
RNAcentral lists this ribosomal RNA (437 nucleotides) under Salmonella enterica subsp. enterica serovar Infantis. RNAcentral describes it as "partial 23S ribosomal RNA". It matches the Rfam family "Bacterial large subunit ribosomal RNA", at positions 755 to 1190 of the family's 2925-position model. The record is from RNAcentral. Lineage: Bacteria; Pseudomonadati; Pseudomonadota; Gammaproteobacteria; Enterobacterales; Enterobacteriaceae. RNAcentral also lists the same sequence under 6 other names.